Molecule: ribosomal RNA, 292 nt
Filed under: uncultured bacterium
Lineage: Bacteria
Description: partial 16S ribosomal RNA
Rfam family: Bacterial small subunit ribosomal RNA
Source: RNAcentral
GUGCCAGCCGCCGCGGUAAUACGGAGGGGGUUAGCGUUGUUCGGAAUUACUGGGCGUAAAGCGCACGUAGGCGGACUAUUAAGUCAGGGGUGAAAUCCCGGGGCUCAACCCCGGAACUGCCUCUGAUACUGGUAGUCUAGAGUUCGAGAGAGGUGAGUGGAAUUCCGAGUGUAGAGGUGAAAUUCGUAGAUAUUCGGAAGAACACCAGUGGCGAAGGCGGCUCACUGGCUCGAUACUGACGCUGAGGUGCGAAAGUGUGGGUAGCAAACAGGAUUAGAUACCCGGGUAGUCC